This 618-nucleotide ribosomal RNA is filed under the name uncultured bacterium. Its description in RNAcentral is "bacterial SSU rRNA". It matches the Rfam family "Bacterial small subunit ribosomal RNA", at positions 338 to 948 of the family's 1533-position model. The record is from RNAcentral.
CCUACGGGAGGCAGCAGUGGGGAAUUUUGGACAAUGGGCGCAAGCCUGAUCCAGCAAUGCCGCGUGAGUGAAGAAGGCCUUCGGGUUGUAAAGCUCUUUUGUCAGGGAAGAAACGGUGAGAGCUAAUAUCUCUUGCUAAUGACGGUACCUGAAGAAUAAGCACCGGCUAACUACGUGCCAGCAGCCGCGGUAAUACGUAGGGUGCAAGCGUUAAUCGGAAUUACUGGGCGUAAAGCGUGCGCAGGCGGUUUUGUAAGUCUGUCGUGAAAUCCCCGGGCUCAACCUGGGAAUUGCGAUGGAGACUGCAAGGCUAGAAUCUGGCAGAGGGGGGUAGAAUUCCACGUGUAGCAGUGAAAUGCGUAGAGAUGUGGAGGAACACCGAUGGCGAAGGCAGCCCCCUGGGUCAAGAUUGACGCUCAUGCACGAAAGCGUGGGGAGCAAACAGGAUUAGAUACCCUGGUAGUCCACGCCCUAAACGAUGUCUACUAGUUGUCGGGUUUUAAUAACUUGGUAACGCAGCUAACGCGUGAAGUAGACCGCCUGGGGAGUACGGUCGCAAGAUUAAAACCGUUAAAGGAAUUGACGGCUGAGAGNGCGAGACGACGACGAGGGAGGAGG